RNAcentral lists this transfer RNA (73 nucleotides) under Felis catus (domestic cat). It matches the Rfam family "tRNA". Rfam says of the family: Transfer RNA (tRNA) molecules are approximately 80 nucleotides in length. RNAcentral also lists the same sequence under 3 other names. Lineage: Eukaryota; Metazoa; Chordata; Mammalia; Carnivora; Felidae. The record is from Rfam by way of RNAcentral.
GCCCGGCUGGCUCAGUUGGUGGAGCUUGUGACUCUUGAUCUCAGGGUUGUAAGUUCGAGCCUCACGUUUGGUG